RNAcentral lists this ribosomal RNA (1779 nucleotides) under Triticum aestivum (bread wheat). RNAcentral describes it as "partial small subunit ribosomal RNA". Lineage: Eukaryota; Viridiplantae; Streptophyta; Magnoliopsida; Poales; Poaceae. The record is from RNAcentral.
GUCCUUUUAGGGGUCGGUUUGGUUUAGUUUGGCUUGGGCCGGAGGAGGGACAGGGAUCAGGGGGGGCGGGCGGACGCGGGGGGAAAGCUUAGGCCUCCUCGAGCGGCCGGCCGCCUAGCCGGCUACCGCCGCAAGCCGCCGUUGCCCAUGACGAUGAGCAGCCCCAGCCUCCUGCUGCUCCUCCUCCUGCUCCUCCCCCGGCUCCCCAUGGCCUUCCCGCCGAUGGUGCGGCGCGCGGGGCCCCUGGCGAAGCGGCCGCCGUCCAAGCAGCGCGUCGCCUUCGAGCCGACCCCGUUGAAGAGGUGGCAGACCGAGCGGAUGCUGUGGGAGGAGUCGUCUAAGCACCGCGAGUUCUAGGUCUUCUCGCGCUCCCUGAUGCGCGUGCGGCGCGAGGUGCUCUAGCUCGACGACAGGCGCCGCCGGUUCCCGCUGGGGUGGUUAAGGUUCACGCAGUAGGUCGACGACCUGGUAAAGUUCGUGCGGCCGGGGUUGCCGUUCGUGUAAACGGACCAGUGGCUCAAGGAGCCGCUGUCGGACGACGCCGAGUAUGCCAUGUUGGCCUUAUUCCCGUAGCCCGACUCGUCCCACUCCCUCUAAACGGCCAGCCACGACUGGCCGGAGCUAAUGUACGUGGCUCUCGAGCGGUAAUAGGUGUGGCUAAACUUCGGCCUCUUACAGGAGGAUCACAGCUGCUAUUUGGGCAGGUUCCUGGGCCACGCGAGCUCCGAGUGGGGCUAAGAGUUCUCCGGUCUCCCCUUAGUCAUGGCGUGCGGUGGGUAGUCAAAGUCGCUCUUCUACGAAUUCUGCGCCCGCUCCGCGCGGCACCGCUUCUAAGACGUCUCCGCCCACAGCGAGCCACCCAAGUGCCGUCUGUACCAAUUCCUCUCUUCGGACCUACCGUAAUCGUACUUCACGUUCUAACAGCUAAAGCCCUUACGGACGACCCGACUAGUCGUCCCACUACCACACUAUGUCUGUUCCGUCAUAUCCCGUGGGCUCCAAUAGUAGCCAAGACCCAUAAGAAUAAGACGACUAUACACCAGCAAGCGAACAUACCGCAAACUCGAACGGUGGCCACUGUACGACAAACGAGGGUUGUGAACGGUUCCAACGUCACUUCUACUCCUAGUGGAUCGAGACUACUACCUUUGAGACCCUUUCUACGGAUUCUUCUAACGGUGGAGUCCGUGGGCAAGGUUCCUAAUGAAGUUGGCCAUGCCUCUGGACUUCUCCCAGUUUUCUUACUCCAAGACCGGGGAGCUCGCGCACGAUCAGCUCUCCAUGUUAAAGUGGCUCGGCCUGCGGUUUCCCGAGCGGCUGAAGGAGGCGGGCUAAGAGCUAAAACUAGGUCUCUUGUCCGGCUGGCGGCGGCUCACGGACUUCGUGCGUACCGAGUUGUUGACUAAGUUGGUUUGGUGGUUCAUUAUUGUACUCUUCGUCGGAUUGUCUGUUAUCGAAAUGUCUCCUCCGGCUCACAAUCUGUAGUCGAGGCCGCUCGUGACUAAAGCUGUACCGAGCUACUUGGUAGACGUCGCCAUUGGCUACUAGGCCCAAGAAAAAAAAUUAGAAGCACCGUAGUAGCAGCAGUACUAGCACACAAAAACCACAUCCCACACGACACCGGAACACCCACGUCUUCGACUACAUCAUCAACACCACAAAUAAAUAAGACGUACACUCCACCACAUUCUUCUACAAACCACCAUCACACUAGACCGGAAGUCGAAAUAAAAUCGAAAGGCAAACGACCAACUCAUCCUUCCUCGUUCACGCUACGCG